GGGAGGCAGCAGUGGGGAAUCUUGGACAAUGGGGGAAACCCUGAUCCAGCAAUGCCGCGUGUGUGAAGAAGGCCUUCGGGUUGUAAAGCACUUUCGAUAGGGAAGAAAAGCUUGGCGCUAAUCAGUCAAGUCUUGACGUUACCUAGAGAAGAAGCACCGGCUAACUCUGUGCCAGCAGCCGCGGUAAUACAGAGGGUGCAAGCGUUAAUCGGAAUUACUGGGCGUAAAGCGCGCGUAGGCGGUUCGAUAAGUCGGGUGUGAAAGCCCCGGGCUCAACCUGGGAAUUGCAUUCGAUACUGUCGAGCUAGAGUAUGGUAGAGGAAAGCGGAAUUCCACAUGUAGCGGUGAAAUGCGUAGAUAUGUGGAGGAACAUCAGUGGCGAAGGCGGCUUUCUGGACCAAUACUGACGCUGAGGCGCGAAAGCGUGGGGAGCAAACAGGAUUAGAUACCCCGGUAGG
RNAcentral lists this ribosomal RNA (458 nucleotides) under uncultured bacterium. RNAcentral's name for it is "bacterial SSU rRNA". It matches the Rfam family "Bacterial small subunit ribosomal RNA", at positions 343 to 794 of the family's 1533-position model. The record is from RNAcentral.